GUCGAGCGGUAACAGGUGUAGCAAUACAUGCUGACGAGCGGCGAACGGGUGAGUAAUACUUCGGAAUCUACCCUCUGGUGGGGAAUAACCAGCCGAAAGGUUGGCUAAUACCGCAUACGUCCUACGGGAGAAAGCAGGGGAUCGUAAGACCUUGCGCCGAUGGAUGAGCCGAAGUCGGAUUAGCUAGUUGGUGAGGUAACGGCUCACCAAGGCGACGAUCCGUAGCUGGUCUGAGAGGACGACCAGCCACACUGGGACUGAGACACGGCCCAGACUCCUACGGGAGGCAGCAGUGGGGAAUAUUGGACAAUGGGGGCAACCCUGAUCCAGCGACGCCGCGUGUGUGAAGAAGGCCUGCGGGUUGUAAAGCACUUUUAGUGGGGAUGAAAUGUGCAGGGUUAAUACCUCUGCAUUUUGACCUAACCCACAGAAAAAGCACCGGCUAACUCUGUGCCAGCAGCCGCGGUAAUACAGAGGGUGCAAGCGUUAAUCGGAAUUACUGGGCGUAAAGCGUGCGCAGACGGUUAUGUAAGUCAGAUGUGAAAGCCCCGGGCUCAACCUGGGAAUUGCAUUUGAGACUGUGUAGCUAGGGUGCGGAAGAGGGAAGCGGAAUUUCCGGUGUAGCGGUGAAAUGCGUAGAUAUCGGAAGGAACACCAGUGGCGAAAGCGGCUUCCUGGUCCAGCACCGACGUUCA
Molecule: ribosomal RNA, 695 nt
Filed under: uncultured Gammaproteobacteria bacterium
Lineage: Bacteria; Pseudomonadati; Pseudomonadota; Gammaproteobacteria
Description: bacterial SSU rRNA
Rfam family: Bacterial small subunit ribosomal RNA
Source: RNAcentral